CUGUCUAACCCCUACCUGCUCCUUAAUGACCUGUCUCUGUACUGUCUAACCCCUACCUGCUCCUUAAUGACCUGUCUCUGUACUGUCUAACCCCUACCUGCUCCUUAAUGACCUGUCUCUGUACUGUCUAACCCCAGUCAUUCUGUGUAGAGGCGUCCAGAGAAUCCGUGUUAAGAUGGGUAUUUUGAGAAGGGGAGGGCUUGAUGUUCCUGUGGUUGUUGAUGUUGUGAUGUGUUGCGGUGGUCAACCUGUGCACUACAGUCCCAUCACCAUGUUGCUUCACACUGCCCCUACACAAACUGGCUACAGAUGCAUGCUGGGUGGUUUCAAUGUGUUAAAUGGCCGAAAUACAAACCUGAUCAAAUCAAGACAAAACCACAGCCUAUUUUAGGAACAGUAACCACGGCAACCUCCGGCGUCCUAAAACGACAGUUGGUCCAGAAUCACAUCACCUAGCAACAGCCGGGACGGAGGCAGACCGCGUUGGUGCUGCCCCCUGCUGGCCGCGGGCUCUCUCUGUCCCCAACUCUCCCUCACACGCGUCCAAGUGUUUGUGCGUGCCUUCGUGGUGGUGCUGCUGUUUGUGCUGGCCAAUCGUUCGGUGUGUGUUUGUGUGUUUGAUCCGUUCCUCUGCUUCCUGCCGCCCGCCUGCCGUGAUGCAUUAGAGACGAUGAUGAUGAUGAUGAUGAUGAUGAUGAUGAUGAUGAUGAUGAUGAUGAUGAUGGACGACGGUUUGAGCGUAACGUUUGAACGGCUCUGUUGGGUUUCAGUCGGGGACGGUGUUUUCAUGGCACCGGGGUGGGAGGGGCUAAGGUCCUUAACCAUCUAACCCCCUUAGGGAUUAGCAUGUUGGUUAAGGACCUCAACCCUUAGGCUAAGGCCCUUAACCAUCUAACCCCCUUAGUGAUUAGCAUGUUGAGGUCAUCAGGUUUGCAUCAGGUUUGUUGAUGAGUUUGUUGAUGGGUUUGUUGAGGGUUCUGUUGAGGGGUUUGUUGAUGGGUUUGUUGAUGGGUUUGUUGAAGGUUCUGUUGAUGGGUUUGUUGAUGGGUUUGUUAAUGGGUUCGUCGAUAGGUUCGUCGAUGGGUUCGUCGAUGGGUUUGUUGAGGGGGUUUGUUGAUGUGUCUGUUGUGGGGGUGAUGGCGUCUCGCCGACAGGCAGGAAGAGCCAUGAGGAGGGUCAACGAACGGUAGCUGAACCGCUCUGUCUCACUGGUGUCUGUAUAUAAUGUUGUUAAAUAAAUAAAUAUAAAUAUAUAUAUAUAUCAUACGACAAGA
This is a long non-coding RNA of Gadus morhua (Atlantic cod), 1274 nucleotides long. RefSeq lists it as uncharacterized. The transcript has 2 exons. The record is from RefSeq and is a predicted model, not a curated record. Lineage: Eukaryota; Metazoa; Chordata; Actinopteri; Gadiformes; Gadidae.